This 167-nucleotide non-coding RNA is filed under the name Porphyromonas bennonis. The record is from RNAcentral. Lineage: Bacteria; Pseudomonadati; Bacteroidota; Bacteroidia; Bacteroidales; Porphyromonadaceae.
CAUCGUGAGGUGAAAUCUGAAGGAAGCUGGGGACAAACAUCUGGCCUAACGAACAGAAACUUCAUAUAAGGCAUAUAAUCAUGGGCAAGUUCGCAGCACAAACCAAAGCCCGAUAGCUAUUUGGAAUGGUUGGUGUAAAUGAAGUAAGUAUAAGAUGGAAAGAUAAU